RNAcentral lists this ribosomal RNA (877 nucleotides) under uncultured eukaryote. RNAcentral's name for it is "SSU rRNA". It matches the Rfam family "Eukaryotic small subunit ribosomal RNA", at positions 636 to 1469 of the family's 1831-position model. The record is from RNAcentral.
CGGUGUUCAACUGGCGUGUCCGCGGGACGUCCUGCCGGUGGGCUUAGCCCGCAAGGGCGGCCCAACUUCAAAUCCCAUCGCGGUGCUCUUCACUGAGUGUCGAGGUGGGCCGGCACGUUUACUUUGAACAAAUUAGAGUACUUAAAGCAGGCUAAAACUUCGCCUGAAUACUGUGUGCAUGGAAUAAUGGAAUAGGACCUCGGUUCUAUUUUGUUGGUUUUCGGAACCCCGAGGUAAUGAUUAAUAGGAACGGAUGGGGGCAUUCGUAUUGCGACGUUAGAGGUGAAAUUCUUGGAUCGUCGCAAGACGGACAGAAGCGAAAGCAUUUGCCAAAAACGCUUUCAUUGAUCAAGAACGAAAGUUAGAGGUUCGAAGGCGAUCAGAUACCGCCCUAGUUCUAACCAUAAACGAUGCCAGCUAGCGAUCCGUCGACGUUCCUCCGAUGACUCGACGGGCAGCUUCCGGGAAACCAAAGCAUUUGGGUUCCGGGGGAAGUAUGGUUGCAAAGCUGAAACUUAAAGGAAUUGACGGAAGGGCACCACCAGGAGUGGAGCCUGCGGCUUAAUUUGACUCAACACGGGAAACCUCACCAGGCCCGGACACCGGAAGGAUUGACAGAUUGAGAGCUCUUUCUUGAUUCGGUGGGUGGUGGUGCAUGGCCGUUCUUAGUUGGUGGAGCGAUUUGUCUGGUUAAUUCCGAUAACGAACGAGACUCUAGCCUGCUAACUAGGCGUAUUUUCGACAUCUCAAAGGUCCGUCGUCCCGGCCCUCGGGUCGUGGGCGUGCGCGAUUUUUACUGUCGGCGUACUAUCAAUUCUUCUUAGAGGGACAGGUGGCUUCUAGCCGCACGAGAUUGAGCAAUAACAGGUCUGUGAUG